GUGCGCGUAGUUAAAUAAUAAUACUAGGUCGUGACCCUAGAGCUAUGGGACAACCCAUCGCGCACC
RNAcentral lists this transfer RNA (66 nucleotides) under Hemitheconyx taylori. RNAcentral describes it as "tRNA-His". Lineage: Eukaryota; Metazoa; Chordata; Lepidosauria; Squamata; Eublepharidae. The record is from RNAcentral.